UGGAGAGGGCGCCUGAGAAACGGCGACCACUUCCAAGGAAGGCAGCAGGCGCGCAAAUUACCCACUCUCAAAACGAGGAGGUAGUGAAGAGAAAUAACGAUGUUAGUCUUUUUUAGGCUGACAAUCGGAAUGGAAAAACUCUAAAAAGGUUAUUGAUUAACAAUUGGAGGGCAAGUCUGGUGCCAGCAGCCGCGGUAAUUCCAGCUCCAAUAAGGAAAACUAAAGUUGCUGUGUUUAAAAAGCUCGUAGUUGAAUUUCGGGUAUUUGUUGCUAGUUGGUCUUUUCGGCCAUAUUGGUUAACAGAUCCUCACUUGCUGGACGGCUGGCGAUGAUCUUUAUCGGUUGUCGUCAGUUGCCAGAACGUUUACUUUGAGAAAAUUAGAGUGCUAAAAGCAGGCUCACGCCUAUAUAUAUUGCAUGGAAUAAUGAAAUAAGAUCUCGAUUUUAUUUCGUUGGUUUUAGAAAUUGAGAUAAUGAUUAAUAGGAUCAGAGGGGGGCGUACGUACUGUGGUGUGAGAGGUGAAAUUCUUGGAUCGCCACAGGACGAACAGCAGCGAAGGCGUUCGCCAAGAAUGUCUUCAUUAAUCAAGAACGAAAGUUUGAGGUUCGAAGACGAUUAGAUACCGUCCUAGUUCAAACCAUAAACGUUGCCAACUGUCUUUUAGAUGCGGUUACUCAUAUGACUCAUCUGGCGGAUCUCGAGAAAUCUAAGUUUUUAGGUUCCGGGGGAAGUAUGGUUGCAAAGCUGAAACUUAAAAGAAUUGACGGAAGGACACACAAGAAGUGGAGCCUGUGGCCUAAUUUGACUCAACACGGGAAACCUUACUCGGCCAGGACACUUUUAGGAUUGACAGAUUGAGAGCUCUUUCUUGAUUAGGUGGGUGGUGGUGCAUGGUCGUUCGUAGUUCGUGGAGCGAUUUGUCUGAUUAAUUUCGAUAACGAACGAGACUCCGGCUUACUAAAUAGUCUAAAGUUCGCAGGGACUUUUCAAGACUUCUUAGCAGGAUAAGUGGCACUUUUUAAGCCACACGAAAUGGAGCAAUAACAGGUCUGUUAUGCCCA
RNAcentral lists this ribosomal RNA (1062 nucleotides) under uncultured eukaryote. RNAcentral describes it as "SSU rRNA". It matches the Rfam family "Eukaryotic small subunit ribosomal RNA", at positions 384 to 1473 of the family's 1831-position model. The record is from RNAcentral.